This 1115-nucleotide long non-coding RNA is filed under the name Piliocolobus tephrosceles (Ugandan red Colobus). RNAcentral's name for it is "lncRNA (ENSPTEG00000024342.1)". Lineage: Eukaryota; Metazoa; Chordata; Mammalia; Primates; Cercopithecidae. The record is from RNAcentral.
UGAAAGUAGGCUCAUUUAAUUUUUUUUUUUUUUACUUUAUUUAUGUGAAACAUUUUACAGAUGCAUAGAAUAGACAGGAAAUUAUUACCUAAAAAUAUUAUAAAAUAUUUACUCAAUAGAUAUCAUAUGGACUCGUGCGAACAAAACAUAAACCAGAUUACUCCUUAUUAUAAAUUAUUAAAACAACAAGUAUGUGGGAAAUACAUAAAUAUAUAUACAUAAAUAUAUAUACAUAAAUAUAUGUACAUAAAUAUAUAUACAUAAAUACAGAGAGAAAGACAAAUAAUUACUAUUUUUUUUGUUGAUUCAAUAAUUUGUUCUAUUGUUUAUCAGUACAUACAUAUGUAUAUAUAAAUACAUAAAUAUAAUUAAACUUUUUAUCUUUUUUUUAGUCACUUUACCCUUCAAAAAUAAAUUAUUUCCUUUAUAAAACCACAUUCCCGAAUAAACACGAACAAUUAUUCCUAUUUUGGGGCAAUGGACCAGCUAUACUAAAUUUUAUUUUUCAAACACUAUGUUUUUGUUUCUUAAUCAUAUUGUCUUGCUGGAUGUUUUUAUUAAAAGUAGAUAAUAUAACAUGGUUACAAUUAUAUAAAUACGGUAGUUUAAUUAUAUGUGGAUGUAUAUUAUUUUUUACAUUUAUAUUAAAAUAUAUUGUGUAUUAUUUUAUAAUGAUAAGUAAAACGGGUUAUUUAAUUGACACGAAGUUGUUAGAAAAGGUAUGGGAAUUUGAAAGAUCAGAUAACAUAAAGAGAAUAUCCGAAUUUAUUGAUGCUAUAAAAAUAAAGUCCACCUUACAUGCACUUAAAGAAGGAGGGGAUGUAUUUUGGAGACAGUUGUUAAUAAAAUCAAGCACAGUGCCAUCAAAUAUACAGGAAAAAAUGUUUUCCAUAUGGGUUAGUUUAGAUGAGGAAAAUAGAGGUGUUAUUGAUUCUGUAAAAAUAUUAAAAUUUUUAAAAUCUCAGGGAAUUAAUUUGAAUUCAGAAAAUGAUGUUAAAGUAAGAUAUAUUUUUUUUUAUUUUUUAUGGCAAAAAAAAAAAAAAAAAAAAAAAAAAAAAAAAAAAAAAAAAAAAAAAAUGCUAGUAUGGCACACCUUUUCAUUUUGCUACAUCUGA